UUGUGUGUUAAGUCUGACGUAAAAACUUGGGGCUCAACCCCAAAUAGCGUUGGAUACUGGCACGCUARAAUUGUGUAGAGGUUAGCGGAAUUCCUAGUGAAGCGGUGAAAUGCGUAGAUAUUAGGAAGAACAUCAACAUGGCGAAGGCAGCUAACUGGGCACAUAUUGACACUGAGAGACGAAAGCGUGGGGAGCAAACAGGAUUAGAUACCCUGGUAGUCCACGCCGUAAACGAUGAUGAUUAGCUGAUGGGAACCAUYGGCACAGCUAACGCAUUAAAUCAUCCGCCUGAGUAGUAUGCACGCAAGUGUGAAACUUAWAGGAAUUGACGGGGAUCCGCACAAGCGGUGGAGCAUGUGGUUUAAUUUGAAGAUACGCGUAGAACCUUACCCACU
This 395-nucleotide ribosomal RNA is filed under the name Mycoplasma sp. M222-2. RNAcentral describes it as "bacterial SSU rRNA". It matches the Rfam family "Bacterial small subunit ribosomal RNA", at positions 576 to 979 of the family's 1533-position model. Lineage: Bacteria; Bacillati; Mycoplasmatota; Mollicutes; Mycoplasmatales; Mycoplasmataceae. The record is from RNAcentral.